UCGUCAUCGUAGGGUUAGUCGGGACCUAAGUCGAGUCCGAAAGGGGUAGACGAUGGCAAAUCGGUUAAUAUUCCGAUACCGACGGAUGUUCGUUUGAAUGAUGGGGGGACGCAUAGAGUUAGAGGAGCUCACUGAUGGAAUAGUGGGUCGAAAGAUGUAGGUUGUAGCGUAGGCAAAUCCGCGCUACAUGAGACCGAGAUCUGACAGGCAGUACAAUCUCUUCGGAGAGCGGACUGAAUCCUUGAUACUGUCGUGCCGAGAAAAGCCUCUAAAUGAGAACAUUCGUUGCCCGUACCGUAAACCGACACAGGUGGGUGAGAUGAGUAUUCUAAGGCGCGUGGAUGAACCCUGGUUAAGGAACUCUGCAAACUAGCACCGUAUCUUCGGUAUAAGGUGUGCCUCGCUAAGUUAGGUGAUUUACUCACUAAAGCUAAGCAGGUUGCAACAAAGAGUCCCUCCCGACUGUUUAC
RNAcentral lists this ribosomal RNA (470 nucleotides) under uncultured bacterium. RNAcentral's name for it is "bacterial LSU rRNA". It matches the Rfam family "Bacterial large subunit ribosomal RNA", at positions 1366 to 1807 of the family's 2925-position model. The record is from RNAcentral.